This 99-nucleotide ribosomal RNA is filed under the name Gymnopilus aeruginosus. RNAcentral describes it as "partial 28S ribosomal RNA". The stretch from base 43 to 99 matches the Rfam family "Eukaryotic large subunit ribosomal RNA", at positions 1 to 57 of the family's 3401-position model. The record is from RNAcentral. Lineage: Eukaryota; Fungi; Basidiomycota; Agaricomycetes; Agaricales; Galerinaceae. RNAcentral also lists the same sequence under 1 other name.
AUGUGCUGCUUCUAAUCGUCCUCAGGACAAUUAUUGACCAUUUGACCUCAAAUCAGGUAGGACUACCCGCUGAACUUAAGCAUAUCAAUAAGCGGAGGA